CAGCAGCCGCGGUAAAACGGAGGGUGCAAGCGUUGUCCGGAUUUAUUGGGUUUAAAGGGUGCGCAGGCGGGGGGGUCAGUCCGCGGUGAAAGACGAUCGCUCAACGAUUGCAGUGCCGUGGAUACUGCCCUUCUUGAAUCUGGUUGAGGCCGGUGGAAUUGACCGUGUAGCGGUGAAAUGCAUAGAUAUGGUCAAGAACUCCAAUUGCGAAGGCAGCCGGCUGGGCCAGCAUUGACGCUCAGGCACGAGAGUGCGGGGAUCAAACAGGAUUAGAUACCCCAGUAGUCCCUGUCUCUUAUAC
RNAcentral lists this ribosomal RNA (301 nucleotides) under uncultured bacterium. RNAcentral describes it as "partial 16S ribosomal RNA". It matches the Rfam family "Bacterial small subunit ribosomal RNA", at positions 509 to 807 of the family's 1533-position model. The record is from RNAcentral.